UACUAAAUAAAAUCCUGAAGAUUUACAAUCCUCCAUUCAAUAAACUAAUUCAGC
RNAcentral lists this transfer RNA (54 nucleotides) under Hygrobates turcicus. RNAcentral describes it as "tRNA-Tyr". Lineage: Eukaryota; Metazoa; Arthropoda; Arachnida; Trombidiformes; Hygrobatidae. The record is from RNAcentral.